CCUACGGGAGGCAGCAGUGGGGAAUAUUGGGCAAUGGGCGCAAGCCUGACCCAGCAACGCCGCGUGAAGGAAGAAGGCUUUCGGGUUGUAAACUUCUUUUCUCAGGGACGAAGAAUGUGACGGUACCUGAGUAAUAAGCCACGGCUAACUACGUGCCAGCAGCCGCGGUAAUACGGAGGUGGCAAGCGUUAUCCGGAUUUAUUGGGUGUAAAGGGCGUGUAGGCGGGAGCGCAAGUCAGAUGUGAAAUCUCAGGGCUCAACCCUGAGCCUGCAUUUGAAACUGUGUUUCUUGAGUGCAGGAGAGGCAAUCGGAAUUCGGUGUGUAGCGGUGAAAUGUGUAGAUAUACGGAGGAACACCAAUGGCGAAGGCAGAUUGCUGAACAGUAACUGACGCUGAGGCGCGAAAGCGUGGGGAGCAAACAGGAUUAGAUACCCUAGUAGUC
Molecule: ribosomal RNA, 443 nt
Filed under: uncultured bacterium
Lineage: Bacteria
Description: partial 16S ribosomal RNA
Rfam family: Bacterial small subunit ribosomal RNA
Source: RNAcentral